This 488-nucleotide ribosomal RNA is filed under the name uncultured bacterium. Its description in RNAcentral is "bacterial SSU rRNA". It matches the Rfam family "Bacterial small subunit ribosomal RNA", at positions 21 to 507 of the family's 1533-position model. The record is from RNAcentral.
GGCUCAGGAUGAACGCUGGCGGCGUGCUUAACACAUGCAAGUCGAACGAAGCACUUUAACUUGAUUUCUUCGGAAGGAUAGUUCUUGUGACUGAGUGGCGGACGGGUGAGUAACGCGUGGGUAACCUGCCUCAUACAGGGGGAUAACAGUUAGAAAUGACUGCUAAUACCGCAUAAGCGCACAGUACCGCAUGGUAUGGUGUGAAAAACUCCGGUGGUAUGAGAUGGACCCGCGUCUGAUUAGCUAGUUGGUGAGGUAACGGCCCACCAAGGCGACGAUCAGUAGCCGACCUGAGAGGGUGACCGGCCACAUUGGGACUGAGACACGGCCCAAACUCCUACGGGAGGCAGCAGUGGGGAAUAUUGCACAAUGGGCGAAAGCCUGAUGCAGCGACGCCGCGUGAAUGAAGAAGUAUUUCGGUAUGUAAAGUUCUAUCAGCAGGGAAGAUAAUGACGGUACCUGACUAAGAAGCACCGGCUAAAUACGUG